AUUAGACUCCGUCCGUCCGAAAAUACUUGUCCUAAAAAUGUACAAAAUAGAUGUAUCUAUAACUAAAAUAAGUCUAGAUACAUUUAUUUCUAGGACAAGUAUUUUCAAACGAAGGGAGUAUCAU
Molecule: non-coding RNA, 124 nt
Organism: Hordeum vulgare subsp. vulgare (domesticated barley)
Lineage: Eukaryota; Viridiplantae; Streptophyta; Magnoliopsida; Poales; Poaceae
Source: Rfam